GGAUGUGAGGGUGAUCUGGCUGUGACAUCUGUCACCCCAUUGAUCGCCAGGGUUAAUUUGGCUGAUCUAGCUGGCUAGGCAGGUGUCCCUGUCCUCCCUCACCACUCCAUGUGCGUCCCUCCUGAAGCUGCACCCUCGGUUGAAGAGGACGGCCUUCCCCGAAUAGAGACGGACGGGUCUUUGGAGGGUCUAAGAGUAGCUGCACUCCCCUGCUAGAACCUCCAAAUAAGCUUUCAAGGCCCAUGUACCACAGUGGUACUCUAUUUGUCUCGUUCUCUCU
Molecule: non-coding RNA, 280 nt
Organism: Erinaceus europaeus (western European hedgehog)
Lineage: Eukaryota; Metazoa; Chordata; Mammalia; Eulipotyphla; Erinaceidae
Source: Rfam